GGUCCGCGCUGGGGCUGCUCCCGCUUCCCCCACUCCCGUAGCACUGUGGGCCCCUUCCUGGCCCAGGCCGCCACUCCGCCGCUCCCGAGGCGGCACGAGCCCCGUGCACGGGCUCAGGUUGAGGCGAGCGGAGAGCUAGGAGCGCGCCGCGGAUUCUGCGCACUGUUUGGUGUUUGGCAACCCCUGGUGUCAUCCCGGCUACCCUGGCACUGGUCGCGGCUCUGGGAUACUCUGCGUGGAGAAAGGAGGCGCGCACGAGAAGAAGAGCCUCUCGAACUACGGCGGAAGAGGGGACGUACCCUAGAAAAUGUUGGAGAUUUUUCCUAGGAAGAAAGUGCUCAUUUUCCUUGGAGGUCCAGAUGUUACUUGCAACAGAUGCUUCUCGCAUUUUCUUGCGCUGGUGAUGCACCCAGUCAGAGGUAGUGAAGUGAAAAAUAACUGAGGAGGAACUGAGCGUGCUCUUGGCAACCUUUUCGAAAAGGAGCUCGCCCAGGCUGAAAAUAGGCAUCCUUGGCUGACUGUUUAGCUCUUUGAAAAUUCUGGGUGUUUUGUUUUGUUUCUGUUCUGGUCGACAGAGCCAUCUAUAUGCUGAUCUCUUUCAGGUACAGUUAACUUACACUGUCUCACUUAAAUGCACAGAUAGGGUGAAGGUGUUCAAAAUCCGGAAGUGUAAAAAUGUCUCUCUGAAAGAAUAAAGUAAAAUGUACCAAUCACUCUGUACUGGAAUAGCUUUAAUGUGGUCAGUGUCCUUAGAAAGGAAGAGUUUCCUUAUAAUUGACACGAUGCAAAAAUAGCAUGAUUUUGUUUGCAUAUUUUUAUCACUUCUUGGUAUGCUGCAGCACACUCAUAGUGUGAUCAAUCUGGAGGUUUUAUUCACAAGUUGGCCUGUCCUUCGGGGAGAACUCGCUUGCCUGCUUUCUUCGGCAGUUAGGAUCCGACCUAGCCAUGUGGUGUGUGCAAGUAGGGAGUUCUAUCCACAGUUAACACUUUAAAACUUCCCUGCAAUGUAUGUUCAUCCCAUACACAGACACACAGACACAAAGCUUCGAUUGUUUUUAUGAACUUAAAUAAAAAAUGUUUGGGGCCAUCAGAUUUAUUUUAAAAGUUAGGCUUGUUUUAUUGCUCAUUUUCAGAAUAGUGGUUAUUGCUUUAAUUUUAGUUGCUGUGCCAUAGAGACAUGUAAAUGGCAGUGAGGUGGGGAGGGUCUGUAUUUGUCUUACAGUAUCACAUUUACAAAUGUUUACUUUGUAUUAUGUCCUUGUGCUGCUCAAACAACUGGACAGGUUUCUGUAGAACCAUAUUCCUUUACAGUCUCCAUAAAGCCACUCUGUCAUUCAGAGACUCUGCGUAAAGUUACAUUAAACACCGGCAGGUGUAAUUACAUCGACUAGAAUAUUAAAUAUACUGUUUUGUGAUGCUAAACUACAGAAUUCUCAUCCCUGAGCUUUCAACCCAACUUGUGUAGUGGGUUCAGGAUGAAAACAUUAUACACUGUCAUAUGAAAGAACAUAUGUGCAGGUAUGCAAGAUACGAAAAACGUCAUUCACUAAACAUUGUGAAUGAAGUUCAGUCUCAUCGUGAAAAUUAUCUUGACAUGUACAGAUAAGGAUUGAGAAAAGAUAUUUAUAUUGGCGAGGUAAAUUAUAAUCUACUCUUUUCAAAUUUAAAGUUAAAAAUCCAUUGUAAUGAAUUAUUACCGUGGGAAAAAUAUUUGUACGUGUGAUUGAAAUAUAUGCUUAUAUGUUCAAUACCUCAUAAAAAAUAAAAUACAUAAGCCUCCUUGGA
Molecule: long non-coding RNA, 1785 nt
Organism: Herpailurus yagouaroundi (jaguarundi)
Lineage: Eukaryota; Metazoa; Chordata; Mammalia; Carnivora; Felidae
Exons: 2
Source: RefSeq, a predicted model, not a curated record